Long non-coding RNA from Salmo salar (Atlantic salmon), 1259 nucleotides. RefSeq lists it as uncharacterized. NCBI's taxonomy places the organism in Eukaryota, Metazoa, Chordata, Actinopteri, Salmoniformes, Salmonidae. The record is from RefSeq and is a predicted model, not a curated record.
AAAUUGUUACAUACAUAGGCUAUUUUGGAAGGAACGUGGAGAAAGAUCUUACGAAAUUCAAUUUCAGUGAAAUAUAUCAUGUGUGGGACCGAAAUCCUGCAAGACGAGAUGAGACCUGCUAAUAAGAAGCCCAACUUUGUCAAGAAAAAAUACAUCUUCUUAUGCCUCCUCACUGUUCCAAUCCAACUGCAUGGUCAACCUCACAGGGAGAGUUACAGAUUUUAAAUUAGUUAAAUUAGAUGGGGAGUGGCAGUGAACAGCAAUCUUCAAGUCUUUCCACAGAUUUUCAAUGGGAUUCAAGUCUGGACUUUGGCUGGGUCACUCAAGGACUUUCAUACUCUUGUUCCAAAGCCAUUCCAGUGUUGUUUUGGCUGUAUGCUUGCAGUCAUUGUCCUGUUGGAAGUUAAAUCUUCAACCCACUAUAAGGUCGUUUGCGCUCUGAAGCGGAUUCUCAUCAAGGAUUUGCCUGUAUUUGGCUCCAUUCAUUGUUCCCUCUAUCCUUACCAGUCUCCCAGUCCCUGCUGCUAAAAAGCAUCCACAUAGCAUGAUGAUGCCACCAUCAUUUUUCACGGUAGGGAUGGUGUUAGACGGGUGAUGAGAUGUGCCUGGUUUCUCCAGACAUAGCGCUUUCCAUUCAGGCUAAAGAGUUCAAUUUUUGUUUCAUCAGACCACAGAAUAUUUUGCCUUAUGCUCUGAGUCUUUCAAGUGCCUUUUUGAAAACUUAAGGAACUGCUGAGGAAAGGUUCUUCGCUCAGACUGUGCUGUCUUCUGGAGUAAUAAAGGCCUAGUUCACUAAUACUGUUGGAAAAAAACACAACGACUGGAGCAGUGGUGUGAAAAGUACUCAAUUGUUAUACUUGAGUAAAAGUAAAUAUACUUUACCUUUAAAUUAAUAGAAAAUGACUCAAGUAAAGGUAAAAAUCCCCCAGUAAAAUACUACUUGAGUAAAAGUCUAAAAGUAUCUUGUUUUAAAUGUACUUAAGUACAUUUGGAAAAAGUAUUCAAUUGUCAUACUUGAGUAAAAGUAAAUGCUUUACAUCAAAUUCCUUAUAUUAAGCAAAACCAGAUGGCACAAUGUUCAUUCUUUUUUCACAGAGAGACUGGGGCACACUCCAACACAGACAUAAUUUAGACAUGUAGUAUUUGUGUUUAGUGAAUCUGACAGAUCAUAGGCAGUAGGAAUGACAAUGCGUUAUUGUUAUGUGAAUUAAGUUAUCAAUGUUCUUAAACUGAACUUCAAUUAAACUACUCAGUCUGCC